GACGAACGCUGGCGGCGUGCUUAACACAUGCAAGUCGAACGGAAAGGCCCUGCUUUUGUGGGGUGCUCGAGUGGCGAACGGGUGAGUAACACGUGAGUAACCUGCCCUUGACUUUGGGAUAACUUCAGGAAACUGGGGCUCAUACCGGAUAGGAGCUCCUGCUGCAUGGUGGGGGUUGGAAAGUUUCGGCGGUUGGGGAUGGACUCGCGGCUUAUCAGCUUGUUGGUGGGGUAGUGGCUUACCAAGGCUUUGACGGGUAGCCGGCCUGAGAGGGUGACCGGCCACAAUGGGACUGAGAUACGGCCCAGACUCCUACGGGAGGCAGCAGUGGGGAAUAUUGCACAAUGGGCGGAAGCCUGAUGCAGCAACGCCGCGUGCGGGAUGACGGCCUUCGGGUUGUAAACCGCUUUCGCCUGUGACGAAGCGGGAGUGACGGUAAUGGGUAAAGAAGCACCGGCUAACUACGUG
RNAcentral lists this ribosomal RNA (468 nucleotides) under uncultured bacterium. Its description in RNAcentral is "partial 16S ribosomal RNA". It matches the Rfam family "Bacterial small subunit ribosomal RNA", at positions 28 to 507 of the family's 1533-position model. The record is from RNAcentral.